CCUACGUGAGGCAGCAGUGGGGAAUAUUGGGCAAUGGGCGCAAGCCUGACCCAGCAACGCCGCGUGAAGGAAGAAGGCUUUCGGGUUGUAAACUUCUUUUCUCAGGGACGAAGCAAGUGACGGUACCUGAGGAAUAAGCCACGGCUAACUACGUGCCAGCAGCCGCGGUAAUAGGUAGGUGGCAAGCGUUAUCCGGAUUUACUGGGGGUAAAGGGCGUGUAGUCGGGCCUGCAAGUCAGAUGUGAAAACCACGGGCUCAACCUGUGGCCUGCAUUUGAAACUGUAGUUCUUGAGUACUGGAGAGGCAGACGGAAUUCCUGGUGUAGCGGUGAAAUGCGUAGAUAUUAGGAGGAACACCAGUGGCGAAGGCGGUCUGCUGGACAGCAACUGACGCUGAGGCGCGAAAGCGUGGGGAGCAAACAGGAUUAGAUACCCCUGUAGUC
Molecule: ribosomal RNA, 443 nt
Filed under: uncultured bacterium
Lineage: Bacteria
Description: partial 16S ribosomal RNA
Rfam family: Bacterial small subunit ribosomal RNA
Source: RNAcentral